UUCUUAUUAACAGAAACUAUUAAGUGUCUU
Molecule: non-coding RNA, 30 nt
Filed under: Mus musculus (house mouse)
Lineage: Eukaryota; Metazoa; Chordata; Mammalia; Rodentia; Muridae
Source: RNAcentral